AGUCGAUGACGAGUAAACGGAUUCGAGUUAAUGGCUGGAGCGUUGAUCCAUUGAAGCAUUCGGUGUUUCAGCUCUUGAACUUCGACAAGAAAUGGAUCUGGGAAUGGUGGACUCGGCGUCAAGGAUGAACAACGAUCAUAAAACGAGAGGAGAACAACAA
Eucalyptus grandis is the source of this 160-nucleotide long non-coding RNA. RefSeq lists it as uncharacterized. The transcript has 2 exons. The record is from RefSeq and is a predicted model, not a curated record. NCBI's taxonomy places the organism in Eukaryota, Viridiplantae, Streptophyta, Magnoliopsida, Myrtales, Myrtaceae.